This 699-nucleotide ribosomal RNA is filed under the name uncultured archaeon. RNAcentral describes it as "bacterial SSU rRNA". It matches the Rfam family "Archaeal small subunit ribosomal RNA", at positions 170 to 852 of the family's 1478-position model. The record is from RNAcentral.
CUGGAAUGAGUCUUCACCCAAAAGACGCUUACGCUAUGCUUGUAGGCGCCGCCCAAGGAUGGGGCCGCGACCGACCAGGUUGUUGGUGAGGUAAUGGCUCACCAAGCCUUUUACCGGUGCGGGCCGUGAGAGCGGGAGCCCGGGGAUGGGCACUGAGACAAGGGCCCAGGCCCUACGGGGCGCAGCAGUCGCGAAAACUUUGCAAUAAGCGAAAGCUUGACAGGGCUAUCCCGAGUGCCAUCCGCUGAGGAAGGCUUUUACCCAGUCUAGAACGCUGGGGGAAUAAGGAGAGGGCAAGUCUGGUGUCAGCCGCCGCGGUAAUACCAGCUCUCCGAGUGGUGUGGAUGUUUAUUGGGCCUAAAGCAUCCGUAGCUGGCUAGGUUAGUCCCUUGUUAAAUCCACCGAAUUAAUCGUUGGAUUGCGGGGGAUACUGCUUGGCUAGGGGACGAGAGAGGCAGACGGUAUUUCCGGGGUAGGGGUGAAAUCCUAUAAUCCCGGGAAGACCACCAGUGGCGAAGGCUGUCUGCUAGAACGCGCCCGACGGUGAGGGAUGAAAGCUGGGGGAGCGAACCGGAUUAGAUACCCGGGUAGUCCCAGCUGUAAACGAUGCAGGCUAGGUGUUUGGACGGCCACGUGCCGUUCUAGUGCCGCAGGGAAGCUGUUAAGCCUGCCGCCUGGGGAGUACGAUCGCAAGAUUGA